RNAcentral lists this transfer RNA (76 nucleotides) under Actinomycetes bacterium. RNAcentral's name for it is "tRNA-Phe". It matches the Rfam family "tRNA". From Rfam's summary of the family: Transfer RNA (tRNA) molecules are approximately 80 nucleotides in length. Their secondary structure includes four short double-helical elements and three loops (D, anti-codon, and T loops). The record is from RNAcentral. RNAcentral also lists the same sequence under 1 other name. Lineage: Bacteria; Bacillati; Actinomycetota; Actinomycetes.
GGUCGAGUAGCUCAGUAGGCAGAGCACACGCCUGAAAAGCGUGGGGUCACCGGAUCGACGCCGGUCUCGACCACCA